AGGACGAACGCUGGCGGCGUGCUUAACACAUGCAAGUCGAGCGGAAAGGCCCUUCGGGGUACUCGAGCGGCGAACGGGUGAGUAACACGUGAGUAAUCUGCCCCUAUGCUCUGGGAUAGCUCCGGGAAACCGGGAUUAAUACCAGAUACGACCACUUUAGACAUCUGUUGUGGUGGAAAGAAUUUUGGCUAGGGAUGAGCUCGCGGCCUAUCAGCUUGUUGGUGAGGUAACGGCUCACCAAGGCGACGACGGGUAGCCGGCCUGAGAGGGCGACCGGCCACACUGGGACUGAGACACGGCCCAGACUCCUACGGGAGGCAGCAGUGGGGAAUAUUGCGCAAUGGGCGAAAGCCUGACGCAGCGACGCCGCGUGGGGGAUGAAGGCCUUCGGGUUGUAAACCCUUUCAGCAGGGACGAAGCGAAAGUGACGGUACUGCAGAAGAAGCGCGGCUAACUACGCGCCAGCAGCCGCGGUAA
RNAcentral lists this ribosomal RNA (477 nucleotides) under uncultured bacterium. RNAcentral describes it as "SSU rRNA". It matches the Rfam family "Bacterial small subunit ribosomal RNA", at positions 26 to 523 of the family's 1533-position model. The record is from RNAcentral.